CAGGAAUCUUCUAGCUUGGAUGGAGGAAAGUACAAAGGGAAUGAGUAUAGAAGUAAUCCAUUCUGCUGAGUAAGAAAUUUCCUGAAACAUGUCAAUGACCUGAUGCAUGGCCUCUACAGGAGUGUUUGACCACACACUCAGUUACCAGUGACCUAUUCUGCCACAUCCCAGGGAAAGGAGAGAGCAGAACCACUCUUCCAUAAAUCCAUGACAAAAACUCAGGAGGUUGACGUGUUGUGAGCCCUCUCGAAAGUCCUAAAAUAUGCCCCUGACCGCUGUGGUGGAGGACAACGCAAAAUCUGACGACUCUUCAAGAGGGUCACUACGCUCCAGAUCUCUUUCUGUGCUCAGAGGUACUUGAUGAGGAUCUACCCCAUCACACCACUCUAAUGAAUUAUUCAUCAAAUAAAACAAUGGGCCUUUGUAUA
Molecule: non-coding RNA, 428 nt
Organism: Salmo salar (Atlantic salmon)
Lineage: Eukaryota; Metazoa; Chordata; Actinopteri; Salmoniformes; Salmonidae
Source: RefSeq, a predicted model, not a curated record